CGGUAAUUCCAGCUCCAAUAGCGUAUACUAAAGUUGUUGCAGUUAAAAAGCUCGUAGUUGGAUUUCUGCGGGGACGGAGCGGCCGGUCGCAACUUGCGACUCGAGCUAGCGCUUUCCCCGCAUCCUGCCGCGAACCGUGCUACCAUUAGUUUGGUGGCGCUGGGGAUCGGCUCGAUUACUUUGAGAAAAAUAGAGUGUUCAAAGCAGGCCACACGCCUUGAAUAAGUUAGCAUGGAAUAAUGACUAAGGACUUUGGUUCUUUUCGUUGGUGUUCGGGACUGAAGUAAUGAUUGAUAGGGACAGUUGGGGCGGUCCGUAUUCCAAAGCGAGAGGUGAAAUUCUUAGACCUUCGGAAGACGAACAGCUGCGAAAGCGUUCCGCAAGGAUGUUCCCUUUGAUCAAGAACGAAAGUUGGGGGAUCGAAGACGAUCAGAUACCGUCGUAGUCUCAACUAUAAACUAUACCAGCUAGGGAUCGGCCAACGUUUAAUUAUUCGACUUGGUCGGCACCUUAUGAGAAAUCAAAGCAUCUGGGUUCCGGGGGGAGUAGGGUCGCAAGGCUGAAACUUAAAGGAAUUGACGGAAGGGCACCACCAGCCGUGGAGCCUGUGGCUUAAUUUGACUCAACACGGGAAAACUUACCAGGUCCGGACAUAGUAAGGAUUGACAGAUUGAUAGCUCUUUCUUGAUUCUGUGGGUGGUGGUGCAUGGCCGUUUUUAGUCGGUGGAUGUGAUCUGUCUGCUUAAUUGCGUUAACGGACGAGACCCCAGCCUGCUAAAUAGCGCGGCCGAGCUUUGCUCGGUGCGAGCUUCUUAGAGGGACCAUGAUGCGCGAUAGCACAAGGAAGUUUGGGGCAAUAACAGGUCUGUGAUGCCCUUAGAUGUUCUGGGCCGCACACGGGCUACACUGGCGCCUGCAACGAGCAUAUCAGCUGGCCCGAGAGGGUCUUGGCUAAUCUUUGGAACCGGCGCCGUGCUUGGGAUUGACCAUUGCAAUUGUUGGUCAUGCAACGAGGAAUGCCUUGUAAACGCGAGUCAUCAGCUCGCAUUGAAUACGUCCCUGCCCCUUGUACACACCGCCC
Molecule: ribosomal RNA, 1081 nt
Filed under: uncultured Rhizaria
Lineage: Eukaryota
Description: SSU rRNA
Rfam family: Eukaryotic small subunit ribosomal RNA
Source: RNAcentral